GAAUUUUGCUCUAUUGACCAGGCUGAAGUGCAAUGGCACAAUCCUGGCUCACUGCAACCUCCGCCUCCCUGGUUCAGGAGAAUAGCUUGAACCCAGGAUGCAGAGGUUGCAGUGAGCUGAGAUUGUGCCCUUGCACUCCAGCCUGGGUGACAGAGUGAGACUCCCUCUCUAAAUAAAUAAAUAAAUAAGUCUAGAGAUGAUUUAGAGUAUACAGGAGGAUGUGUGUAGGUUACAUGCAAAUACUAGGCCAUUUUAUAGCAGGGCCUUAAGCAUCUGUGCAUUUUGGUGUUCACAGGAGACUCCUGAAACCAGUGCCUCAUGGAUACAGAGGGAUGACUGCAUAUAUCAGGGUUUCUCAACCUCAGCACUGCUGACACGUUGGGUUGGAUAAUUUUUGGUUGUGCAUUGUAGGGUGUUUAACAGCAUCCCUGGCCCCUGCCCUCUAAAUGCCAAUAGUAAUCCCAUCCUCUCCCCUUCCCAUCAAGUUGUGAAAACCAAAAAUAUCUCCAGGCAUUGCCAAAUGUUUUCUGGAGGUAAAAGCACCCCUGAUUGAGACCCUCCAGCUGACAUGUAAAUAUUCUAUACAUUCCCCCUCACAGAUUGGCCCAUGGUCUUGGGUUCAGAACCACCAGUAUAAUCAAACCUCACACGUCACAGGGGAGAAAAUCAAAGCCCAGAGUGAUUUGCCUAUAGUGAUUGUCUUUGUUUCCUUGGGUUGCCAUAAGAAAUAGCCACAAACUGAAUGGCUUAAAACAGCAGGAAUGUAUUCUCUCACAGUUGUGGAGAACAAAAAUCCGAAAUCAAGGUAUCAGCAAGGCCGUGCCCUUUCUGAAACCUCCAGGGGAAAAUUCUUCCUCAUCUAGUCCAGUUCCUGCUGGCUCCGUGCAUUCCUUGACUUGAGGAUGCGUCAGUCCAAUUUCUGCUUCAGCCUUCACAUGGUCUUGCUGUGUGUGUGUGUGUGUGUGUGUGUGUGUCUGUGUGUGUGUGUGUGUCCCUCU
RNAcentral lists this long non-coding RNA (998 nucleotides) under Homo sapiens (human). Its description in RNAcentral is "HSALNT0401747". The record is from RNAcentral. Lineage: Eukaryota; Metazoa; Chordata; Mammalia; Primates; Hominidae.